UAGAACUAAGAGACCAAACCAAUCAAAUGAUGGGGUAACGCCCUGAAGGGUUGGCAUUAAUACUCCGAAUUGCACCAUAGUAAUUAAGUACUAUGAUGUGAUAAGCUCGGUGAAGUCGGGGGAAGGUUAUCGUAAUUAUACGAAAGCUACCUUAGUCGGGUGGUAUAACUGAUACCUCGGAUGUCCACAAA
This is a non-coding RNA of Halobacteroides halobius DSM 5150, 191 nucleotides long. The record is from Rfam. Lineage: Bacteria; Bacillati; Bacillota; Clostridia; Halanaerobiales; Halobacteroidaceae.